This 452-nucleotide ribosomal RNA is filed under the name uncultured bacterium. Its description in RNAcentral is "bacterial SSU rRNA". It matches the Rfam family "Bacterial small subunit ribosomal RNA", at positions 343 to 794 of the family's 1533-position model. The record is from RNAcentral.
UGGAGGCAGCAGUGAGGAAUAUUGCUCAAUGGACGAAAGUCUGAAGCAGCAACGCCGCGUGAGGGAUGAAGGUGCUCUGCAUUGUAAACCUCUGUAGUCGGGGACAAAAAGUGGGUUACUACCCACCUGAUGGUACCCGAAAAGUAAGGAUCGGCUAACUACGUGCCAGCAGCCGCGGUAAUACGUAGGAUCCAAGCGUUGUCCGGAUUUACUGGGUGUAAAGGGUGCGCAGGCGGACUUAUAAGUCAGGGGUGAAAUCUCACGGCUCAACCGUGAAACUGCCUUUGAUACUGUAGGUCUUGAGUCAGAGAGAGAGUCGUGGAAUUCCGAGUGUAGCAGUGAAAUGUGUAGAUAUUCGGAAGAACACCAGUGGCGAAGGCAGCGACUUGGCUCUGUACUGACGCUCAGGCACGAAAGCAUGGGGAUCAAACAGGAUUAGAUACCCCGGUAGU